AGUGGAAGAGCACUUGCCUACAAUGCACAAGGUCCUGGGUUCAAUUCGACACUACCAACCAACAACAGCAAAAACUAAAGGCUUCUCAGAUAGCUGCAGAAGUACAGAAAAUGCAGAGCAUGGCGAAGCUGAGCUGUAAUUCAGAAGCCAGGUUCAAGAAAGUGCCAGCAUAGAAUCUCUGAAAACCACUAGAAGCUCCUGGGAAGAAAAUUUCGCAGCUGAGAGUCAGGCCUUCAAAAGGGCUGUUUCCCUAGAAAUUUCAAUGGGUGCAGAAAACCACUGUCACUGAUCACUCGGUGUCAGAGUGAACCAAAGGAGUUUUGCUUUCAAAAUGGAAAAGCCUUUGAAAAUGCCUUCUUCAAGCUAUGGUUUCCUUCUUAUGCCCGCAUGAGGAUGAUUCUUGAAAAGGAUGCAGCAGUUAAAGUGGAUUCUUGAGAUCUUAUCCUGAAUAGAACACUGGCAUGCAGUCACCCAGAAGUUUACAGCUAUGAAAGCCUUACAAAUCUCCACUGUCACACAGCCCAGCGUGGACUCGGAUCUGCAUUCAAAGGUCAAUCAGCCCAGAAUCCAAAAAUAACUGCAGAGUUAUGUGCAGGAUCUUCAGAAAUGUCAAAAAGGAAUUCAAUCAUAAUGGAAGACCAAAUUCUUAGGCUCCUCUUUCCAUAGCUCCUUAUCUUGCACUGUGCUGAGUUAUCCCCAAGAAUGUUUCUUCACACUGCCAGGAGCGUCCAAUCUUCAUUGCAACACAAUGGCAUCGUCUACAAAUCCAUGCUUGAGAAUCAUGUAACCAAGUUACAAAACAAAAUUGCAAAAAAAAAAAAA
This is a long non-coding RNA of Mus musculus (house mouse), 822 nucleotides long. RefSeq annotates it as RIKEN cDNA 1700048O14 gene. Lineage: Eukaryota; Metazoa; Chordata; Mammalia; Rodentia; Muridae. The transcript has 4 exons. The record is from RefSeq and is marked validated.